CUUGGUCAUUUAGAGGAAGUAAAAGUCGUAACAAGGUUUCCGUAGGUGAACCUGCGGAAGGAUCAUUACAGAGAAUAUGCCCUUCGGGGUAGACCUCCUACCCUUUGCUUACUUUACCUUUGUUGCUUUGGCAAGCCCGUCUACCGACCACCGGCUUUUUGCUGGUCAGUGCAUGUCAGAGGAUCUCAAAUUCUUAAUAUAAUAUUGUCCGAGUACUAUUUAAUAGUUAAAACUUUCAACAACGGAUCUCUUGGUUCUGGCAUCGAUGAAGAACGCAGCGAAAUGCGAUAAGUAAUGUGAAUUGCAGAAUUCAGUGAAUCAUCGAAUCUUUGAACGCAUAUUGCGCCCUUUGGCAUUCCGAAGGGCAUACCUGUUCGAGCGUCAUUACACCCCUCAAAGAUAACUCUUUGGUGUCGGGCAAUGCCUAAAGGCAUGCCUCAAAAUCAGCGAUGGUGAUAUUCAACCACGGGCGCACACACGUCGUCUAGCUGGCGGGAUGUUGACAGUCAAUUGAUGAAUUUCUAAAUGUUGACCUCGGAUCAGGUAGGAAUACCCGCUGAACUUAAGCAUAUCAAUAAGCGGAGGA
This 586-nucleotide ribosomal RNA is filed under the name uncultured Pezizomycotina. RNAcentral's name for it is "eukaryotic LSU rRNA". The stretch from base 231 to 384 matches the Rfam family "5.8S ribosomal RNA". The record is from RNAcentral. Lineage: Eukaryota; Fungi; Ascomycota.